UUCAACUCCCAGAAUUCCUCCUCCAGUCAUGUUAGCUCCAGUCAUGUUAGUCCACAAGUCUUAAAGCUGUCAAAUUUGAAGACCCUUGACAUAGAGCUUACCAUGAUGAUAAAGCAACGAAUCAUGUAACCAGUUUGUGGUUAACUAUGAUAAACAUAAACAUGGAUGGAGGUGUCCAGGUUUGUUAGGCAUAUUCAAUAGCUGCAUGCUCAAAGUCAGAAUUCUUUAUCGUUCUGCUUUAGGCCAUAAAAGCAGAAAUGCCUGUAUUUCUGAGAAAGCUAUAAGCUUAAGAAUUUAAAGUUUUGAAAUAAACAACAAAAAGUCAAAUAAAGACUUUUAACACAAAUGUAUAAGCAAAACAAAGGACUGUGUCAGAGACUGUGUCAAUCAGAAGGAGGGAUCAAACAGGCAAUCAUCACCAAGAUACAAGAAGGCAAGGUCUGACACCACCCCACUUAAAUACCAUUGAACCUUACCUACAGUAGUCUUUCCCAGGGGCAAACUACCAGUCUGGAAAAAUUGCUAUGAAAUGGGCAUGGAACAAUAAACUAGUAAUUUGAAUUCUUCACCUGUGGGUAGAGAUGGGAAGGAUUGGAAAACAGAAAAAUUGGGAGAAAAAAGGGGGUCUUUUUUUUUCCAAAGAUGUUUGGAAAAAACUCUUUUUUCCCAAUUUUCCCAGACCUUCUUGUCUCUACAAGUGGGUCUUGUCAUCGGGCAAAUUUGGAAUAUUAGAAUUUUUGCUAUAAGAUUUUGAAAAUAAUUACCAGUAAAUAGUAUCUUCAGAGGAACUAAAUUAGUCUAUUUUAAAUCAUAAGAAAUUCCACACUUUUAUAAUUUUGGAAAUUGGACACUAGAGGGCUUAGAGAUUCCAGGAAGAAAAGGAAAAAGGAGAGAGAAAGGUUUGCUUUUUGUUUUGGUCAACAUUGAAACAAAAUAACAGAAAAUAAUGACAUGAAACGUUUUAGGAAUCUUUGACAUAUGGAGUCAAAAAAUAGCAGCUACAAUGUCAGCAAUGCCAUCUGCUUCUAUAGAUAAUUUUUAAAAGAUGUUAAAGAACAAAUGACAGAUGUGAAAAGAGAAUACCCUAGAAGAUCUAAAGCCCUGAAGAAUUCUUUGAGAUGGGAAAAAGAAAAUUUGAAGAGAGAUCAAAUAUUCCAACAAUCCUACAAUGAAAUAAAGACUAAAGUGAUUAGUAGCAAAAGGAAAGACUAAAGUUUAUUUGUUUAAGGUUAAAACAAGAUGUUUCUACAUUAAAAAAAAAUAAUUAUGGAUCUUUUUGCUGGCAUCAAGACUGAAUGAAAUGUUAAUGAUUUAUGAAUUUGCGCAUGCAUAAGGGAUGGGUUAUGGGAAGAAGAGAUGCUUGCAUGUA
Non-coding RNA from Pseudonaja textilis, 1369 nucleotides. Lineage: Eukaryota; Metazoa; Chordata; Lepidosauria; Squamata; Elapidae. The record is from RefSeq and is a predicted model, not a curated record.